AUGUCACAGAUGAGUGUGCAUGUGAAUUUUUUUCAGAGAAUAAACCACCAUAUUUUAUGUUCAUUUGACAUUUUUUGUAGGCUUACCAGCAGGGCCGUGCACAGGGUGGCUAGAGCCACUGAUCCUUUGCCCUCAUCGGCUGAGGUGCCCAUCUCACCAAUCACCCCAGCUCAAAGCUGUCUGUUACCGCUCCCCGAUAGAUCCGCUGAUUCCGCUAAUCCGCUCUGUGUUUCCCGCCCGCUCCGUAGCAUGACUCACAAUCUGUGUGCCGUUCUCUGGAGAGUGGAGACCACAGUUCCCGAAACUCAUUGCAUUACCAGCAGAAACAGGCCUCCGAAGAACAGUGAGACAAACAAGAGAAACAUGAACAACUAUAAAGUUUUACAAUACAUCCAGCUCCCCUUGAGUGUGCAGGGGUCCUGAUGCCAUACAGGGUAAAAACAUUGUGUUAAGCUGUGGGAUCGUUUCACAGCCACGGUGCUUCUUAUUUACACUCUAUCCAGCACUGCUGUGAGUACAACCGAGCGCAGAAACAAAGCGGAGCUCGACUGGUGCUGGAGUUCAUCCGUCUGCGAGAACAAACAGAAAUUAAAGUAUCCCACGUCUCCAUAUCCUCUGCCCUGGUUUGUGUUGGGCAGCUGCCAACACAGCGAGGGAGAAUAAUAGAGUGAAGUAUUUCUUUAAUGUGUAGAGUGUUAACAUUUACUCUCUUUUAACCAUCUCUGGCACACAAGGGAUCCUAAAUGCUGGAAAUACAGAGGUUUUGUUCUUUCCUUCAGGGAAAAUGUAACUUUCUCGAUGAAAGGUUAUCAUCAAAGUUUAAUAUGUUGUGGGUUUUAAAUAUCUUACACAGUUGUGUUUCAUUGGUCCGAAAUCCUACUGCGUUUAACUAUUUGAUAGGUUCUGAUUGGCUUUGAAUGUGCCUAUCAUGUAACACUUUUGUUUUGAUUAUUGGUGUGCAAGUGAUGUAAUGCUACAUUUCUCCAAAUCUGUUCUGAUGAAGAAACAAACUCAUCUAAUGUACAUCUUGGAUGGCCUGAGGGUAGAGAAAUUUUGGUUGCACUUUAUUUUACAGUAUGUGUACUUACAUUUACUUAUAGUGUACUUACAGUGUAUUUAUCUAAGAAAGUUCUGGUAAUAUAAGGUAACUACAUGGGGUAGGGUUAGGUUUAGGGGUAGGUUCAGGGUUAGUACCUAGUUAUUACAUAGUAAUUGUAAUUACUAUAAUAAGUACAUAGUAUGUACAUGAGUAACAGGACUGUAAAAUAAAGUGCUACCGAAAUUUUUUAUCA
Molecule: long non-coding RNA, 1292 nt
Organism: Cyprinus carpio (common carp)
Lineage: Eukaryota; Metazoa; Chordata; Actinopteri; Cypriniformes; Cyprinidae
Source: Ensembl